Molecule: non-coding RNA, 296 nt
Organism: Camelina sativa (false flax)
Lineage: Eukaryota; Viridiplantae; Streptophyta; Magnoliopsida; Brassicales; Brassicaceae
Source: RefSeq, a predicted model, not a curated record
GACGGCGGGUUGUCUCCAGUGACGGCUGGACGGCAUUUCUCCAAAUAAUUUGCGUUGAUGUUACAUGCUGGAAUGCUCGUAGGUUUUUCCAUCAGUACCAAGGCAGACAAAACUAUUGCAAGAGCUGCAAAUUUCAGAAAGGAUCUGGGAAUAGGCAUAAGGAGACAAGUUUCUAGAUAAUCAAGAAAGUAGAAAGUACUUUAUUCUUUUCAUAAUACAGUAUGUAGUAAUAUAGAACAUAGUUUAUCUAUGUAAUAGAGAAGGUGAUUUGAGAACUUAUUCGAAUCAGAACAGCA